UGGCUCUGGCAUCGAUGAAGAACGCAGCGAAAUGCGAUAAGUAAUGUGAAUUGCAGAAUUCAGUGAACCAUCGAAUCUUUGAACGCACAUUGCGCCCGCCAGUACUCUGGCGGGCAUGCCUGUUCGAGCGUCAUUUCAACCCUCAAGCCCCCCGGGCUUGGUGUUGGGGAUCGGCACAAGGCGCUGGCACCUCCGGGGGCCAGCGCCCGCCGUCCCCUAAAUCCAGUGGCGGUUCGCGCCGUGGGUACCUCAGCGUAGUAGCAAAACCUCGCUCCGGGACCCCUCCUGCGGACCACGCCGUAAAACCCCCGACUUUAUUUCUGGUUGACCUCGAAUCAGGUAGGACUACCCGCUGA
RNAcentral lists this unclassified non-coding RNA (356 nucleotides) under uncultured fungus. Its description in RNAcentral is "partial contains 5.8S ribosomal RNA and internal transcribed spacer 2". The stretch from base 1 to 133 matches the Rfam family "5.8S ribosomal RNA", at positions 22 to 154 of the family's 154-position model. The record is from RNAcentral. Lineage: Eukaryota; Fungi.